Parelaphostrongylus tenuis is the source of this 72-nucleotide non-coding RNA. The record is from the annotation of a GenBank genome assembly. Lineage: Eukaryota; Metazoa; Nematoda; Chromadorea; Rhabditida; Metastrongylidae.
UCGUCGGUAGUGCAGUGGUUAGCAUACGCUCCCGGAAAGAGUGAGAUCUGGGUUUGAAUUCAGGCCGACGAA